UGCAGUCGAGCGGUAACAGGGGUAGCUUGCUACCCGCUGACGAGCGGCGGACGGGUGAGUAAUGCAUGGGUAUCUGCCCGGUAGUGGGGGAUAACUCGGGGAAACCCGAGCUAAUACCGCAUACGUCCUACGGGAGAAAGCAGGGGAUCUUCGGACCUUGCGCUAUCGGAUGAGCCCAUGUCGGAUUAGCUUGUUGGUGAGGUAACGGCUCACCAAGGCCGCGAUCCGUAGCUGGUCUGAGAGGAUGAUCAGCCACACCGGGACUGAGACACGGCCCGGACUCCUACGGGAGGCAGCAGUGGGGAAUAUUGGACAAUGGGGGAAACCCUGAUCCAGCCAUGCCGCGUGUGUGAAGAAGGCCUUCGGGUUGUAAAGCACUUUCAGUGGGGAAGAAGGCAUGGUGGUUAAUAACCAUCAUGAAGGACAUCACCCACAGAAGAAGCACCGGCUAACUCCGUGCCAGCAGCCGCGGUAAUACGGAGGGUGCAAGCGUUAAUCGGAAUUACUGGGCGUAAAGGGCGCGUAGGCGGCUUGCCAAGCCGGAUGUGAAAGCCCCGGGCUCAACCCGGGAACGGCAUUCGGAACUGGCAGGCUAGAGUGCAGGAGAGGAAGGUGGAAUUCCCGGUGUAGCGGUGAAAUGCGUAGAGAUCGGGAGGAAUACCAGUGGCGAAGGCGGCCUUCUGGACUGACACUGACGCUGAGGCGCGAAAGCGUGGGUAGCAAACAGGAUUAGAUACCCUGGUAGUCCACGCCGUAAACGAUGUCGACCAGCCGUUGGACCCCUUGAGGGUUUGGUGGCGCAGUUAACGCAAUAAGUCGACCGCCUGGGGAGUACGGCCGCAAGGCUAAAACUCAAAUGAAUUGACGGGGCCCGCACAAGCGGUGGAGCAUGUGGUUUAAUUCGAUGCACGCGAGACCUUACCUGCUCUUGACA
Molecule: ribosomal RNA, 934 nt
Filed under: Kushneria indalinina
Lineage: Bacteria; Pseudomonadati; Pseudomonadota; Gammaproteobacteria; Oceanospirillales; Halomonadaceae
Description: bacterial SSU rRNA
Rfam family: Bacterial small subunit ribosomal RNA
Source: RNAcentral